ACCUCAGAGGCGCAGUUUGCCAUGUGGGUGGACGCAGUUAUAUUUAUCUUCAGCUUGGAGGAUGAAAUACGUUUCCAGAUGUUUACUGCAGUCAAAUGGCCAACUAUCGGAACAUGAGCGAGACUCCUCUGGUUCUGGUGGAAACCCAGGAUGCCAUAAGUUUCACUAACCCGAGGGUCAUUGAUGAUGCCAGGGCAAGGAAGCGCUCCAACGGCCUGAAGCGGUGCACGUACUACGAGACGUGUGCUAUGUACGGGCUGAACGUGGAGAGGGACUUUCAGGAGGUUGCCCAGAAGAUUGUUGCCACAGGGAAGAAGCAGCAGUUGUCCAUAGGACCCUGCAAGUCACUGCCCAAUUCUCCAAGCCAUUCCGCCAUCUGUUCUGCACAGGUGUCCCCCAUGCACAUCAGCUAGAUAAAUAAUGGAGGUAGGAAUUUAAGUGACUAUUCCUCCUCCAUUCCAUAGACUCCCAGCACCAGCCAGAAGGAACUUCAGAUGGAUGUUCCUCCCACUGCCAACACGCCCAUGCCCGUAAGCAGUCCAAGUGGGUGUCCAACCGGUUCACCUCUCAGAAAGGGAGCGACCCAAAGAGAAGAAAGGCCUGGAGAGUCGUGCGUACAGCAUCAGGAGCAGCUGAGCCAUGCCAAUUAUACAGGGCAUGCUGUUGAAGCAAAGUGGCAAAUCGUUGAAUAAAGAAUGGAAAAAGAAAUAUGUCACCCUGUGUGACAACGGUGUGCGAACCUAUUAUCCAAGUUUACAUGAUUACAUGCAGAAUGUUCACGGUAAGGAGACUGACCUUCUGAGAACUACUAUGAAAGUCCCAGGGAAGAGGCUACCCUAAGCCACAUCAGCCUGCAUGCCCAUCUCCAGGUCUAAAACCAAUGGCCUAUCCAAGUACAUGAGGAGUUUACACAUCUCAUUCAAUUCAGGGAAUGUCACUAGUGCAUCUGGGUCUCAGAUGGCAAGCAGCAUCAGCCUGGUCUCCUUCAACAGCCAACCAGAUGGCAUGCACCAGCGCUCCUACUCAGUCUCCAGAGCCAACCAGUGGAGUGAGGCUAUAGUCAUUACAAACUUGGCCAUCAGCAGUGACAUGGUGCUGGGUGACUCCGUAUGCUCCAACCCCAGUAACUCCAGCACCACCAGCCCACCUCCCCUCACACCAACAGAAAGAAGCACUGUAGGCAGAAAACCACCAGCAACUUCAAAGCUGAUGGCCUGUCCGACACUACCAAAGAACAAGAAAACUUUGAGUUUAUCAUUGUGUCCCUCACAGGCCAAACGUGGCACUUUGAAACCACGACGAAUGAGGAGUGGUACACCUGGGUCCAAGCCAUCAAGUGCCAGAUCCUGGUCAGCCUGGCAAGCCUGCAGUCGUGCAAGAGCAGCAAGAACAAGUCCCAGCUGAUGAACCAGAGCGAGGCCAUGGCCCUGCAGUCAAUCCGACACAUGCACGGGAACUCCUACUGUGUGGACUGUGAGACCCAGAAUCCUAACUGGGCCAGUUUGAACUUGGGAGCGCUCAUGUGCAUCAAGUGCUUAGUGAGCCACUGGAAUCUUGGCACCCACCUUUCCUGAGUCUGAUCUCUGGACCUGGAUGACUGGCCAGUUGAGCUUAUCAAGAUGAUGUCAUUCAUUGGGAAUGAGAUACUCAACAACGUCUGGGAAGAGAGCAGCCAGGGGUGGACGAAACCCUCAGUAGACUCCACAAGGGAAAAGAAGGAACAGUGGAUCCAUGCCAAGUACGAGCAGAAGCUCUUCCUGGCCCCGCUACCCUGCACGGAGCUGUCCCUGGGCCAGCACCUGCUGUGGGCCACCACAGACGAGGACCUGUGGACAGCCAUCCUGCUGCUGGUGCAUAGCUCCUGGGACGAGGUGAAAGAAACCUUCGGGGAGGGAGACAGAGACAGCCGCACUGUACUGCAUCUGACCUGCUGCAAGGGAAAUGUGGUCCUGGCGCAGUUCCUGAUCUGGUACAGGGUGGACAUCAUGGCCCGAGAUGCCCAUGGGAACACAGCGCUGGCCUACACCUGGCAGGCCUCCAGGCAGGAAUGCCUCAAUGUGCUGCUGGAGUAUGGCUGCCCCGACGAGCGCUGAGUGCUCAUGGCCACCCCUAACCUGUUCAGGAGAAACAAUAACCGGAACAACAGCAGCGGGAGGGUAGCCACCAUCAUCUGAGGAACAGCCGUGCCUGCCUGCCCGCCACACCUGGGAUGCGGCGGCCUUGCAGCAUACUCACUUGGAAGUCGCAACACGUGAGUCCCGUCGCAUCCCCUCACUCUUCCUGGUGGUUCCUCUUCCCACCCACCCACCCUCACCCCAAACAAAAUCACAAAACCUGGACAUCCCCAAGGGGUGAAGAGGCGGCUGGGAGACUGCAGAAGCAGCUCCUUUGCAUAAACUCCCCUAAACCACAAGCAGGAGAGAGCAACAGGCCUUGGCUCUUUGAUGAUAGUACACGGCACAGGACCCUUGUCCUGGUGGCACAAGGGAUGUGGAUCUGAGGGGGAGGGGAGGUGAGGAACAAGGAGAAGGGGCAACUUUCCUUAACUGGCAGUUAAGCACAUCAGUACAUUUCACCUCUACCAAAUGGAACACUUGGAUUCCAUCUCUUCUCUGAGGAGCCUGAUGGCAUAAAUCAGAAGCAAGUACAGAGUUUGUCAGGUUUGAAGCCCUUAUCAUGGUAUGUGUCAAAUCAGUUGUAGGUCAUCUGUCCAGGGAGAAUACUGGCUUCAUUACACUUGUGUAGUUGAGUUCUUCCAGCAUUACUGCUGUUUAAUAGAAGAUGAUUGGUCAUCACCAAGAAGAAAGCAUAUUAGCCAAGGAGGUAGUUAUGCAGCAUGCUCUGGUGCUUACCACGUUGUGAUCGCAAUACUCUCAGAAGCAUCAUAUUAUCCCAGACAUGUUCUUUCAAGCCCCUGGAGUCCUCCUUUCUAAAUUCACUGUCAUACUUUAGUAUCUGUUGAAUUUUUCAGUUCAAAGAAGGAAAUCAGUUGCCGAGUAACUUUCUUUUGACUGUGGUCUCCUUGGUACAAAAACAAAAUGGGAAAAAUAAGAAUAACUCAGAAAUUCAAAAGGAAAUCACAAAUUCAGCUAAUAAUAGCAUUUUAAGUAUAUUUUGUAAACUAAAUAAACACACAAAAGGCUAUUUUUUUCCAACCAUAAGAGAUAUUUUCUGUCCUUUUGCCGAGGUGGAUGUGUUAGUCUCAGGCCUUCCUGGGCCACAUUGCCCAACCCACAUGGGCUUCUGUAUUAUGUAUUUAGUCAAGAUGUGUGAAAAUAUAUUUGAAUAAAAGAAGUUCAUAAAUAUGUAUUGAUUUGUUUUACAGACAAAUGGCACCUCUCUUAAUUUAUAAAUUGAACUGGAUGUGAACUAAUAAUGUGCAACUAGUUAAACUAGUUAAGAGGGUUACAGCUCAUUGUACAUGGAAAAUAUUCCCAGCAGUAAACACUUCCAUUAAUGUGAUCUACAGCUUUUAAAAAGGAGCAUCUCAGAAUAAGACGGUGGUACAAUUUGCUUAUUAAAAUUGAGA
Non-coding RNA from Chlorocebus sabaeus (green monkey), 3529 nucleotides. The record is from RefSeq and is a predicted model, not a curated record. Lineage: Eukaryota; Metazoa; Chordata; Mammalia; Primates; Cercopithecidae.